UCAGACGAUGCGUCAUGCAUAUCAAUAAGCGGAGGAAAAGAAACUAACAAGGAUUCCCUUAGUAACGGCGAGUGAAGCGGGAAGAGCUCAAAUUUGAAAUCUUCAAGGUUUUACCUUGACGAAUUGUAGUUUAAAGAAGUGUUUUCUGCUGAAGUUUUGGUAAAAGUUCUUUGGAAUAGGACAUCAUAGAGGGUGAGAAUCCCGUAUUUGACCAUUAUUUUCAGCUUUGUGAUACACUUUCAAAGAGUCGGAUUGUUUGGGAAUGCAGUCCAAAAUGGGUGGUAAAUUUCAUCUAAAGCUAAAUAUUGGCGAGAGACCGAUAGCGAACAAGUACCGUGAGGGAAAGAUGAAAAGAACUUUGAAAAGAGAGAUAAACAGUACGUGAAAUUGUCAAAAGGGAAGCGUUUGACACCAGUGUUGUUUUCUCGAAAAUCAAUUAAAAAUGGCUCGAUCUUGUAUUGCUUGAGACCUUAAAAGCUCACUGUACAUUUUUCGUGUCUUUUUUAAUGCACUUUUCGUUUAACAAGUCAACAUCAGUUUCUUUUGUUGUAAAAGGGUCAUUGGAAGGUAGGCUUUCUUUUCGGAGAAAGUGUUUAUAGCCUUUGGCCUCUGCAAUCGGAGAGACUGAGGUCUGCAGCGUAGACUCUUCGGGGUUAGAUACAUUUGUGCUAAGUUAUAGCUUUUUAUAGACAACUUGUUGACUAUAAUUAGUCUUGUAGCUUACUCGCUUAUGCUAUUUUACCUACGCUUAGGAUGUUGACGAUCAGCUGAGCGCG
Molecule: ribosomal RNA, 776 nt
Filed under: uncultured Neocallimastigales
Lineage: Eukaryota; Fungi; Neocallimastigomycota; Neocallimastigomycetes; Neocallimastigales
Description: partial large subunit ribosomal RNA
Rfam family: Eukaryotic large subunit ribosomal RNA
Source: RNAcentral